UCGUGUUGUGAAAUGUUGGGUUAAGUCCCGCAACGAGCGCAACCCUUAUCCUUUGUUGCCAGCGGUUCGUGCCGGGAACUCAAAGGAGACUGCCAGUGAUAAACUGGAGGAAGGUGGGGAUGACGUCAAGUCAUCAUGGCCCUUACGAGUAGGGCUACACACGUGCUACAAUGGCAUAUACAAAGAGAAGCGACCUCGCGAGAGCAAGCGGACCUCAUAAAGUAUGUCGUAGUCCGGAUUGGAGUCUGCAACUCGACUCCAUGAAGUCGGAAUCGCUAGUAAUCGUAGAUCAGAAUGCUACGGUGAAUACGUUCCCGGGCCUUGUACACACCGCCCGU
RNAcentral lists this ribosomal RNA (338 nucleotides) under uncultured Serratia sp. Its description in RNAcentral is "bacterial SSU rRNA". It matches the Rfam family "Bacterial small subunit ribosomal RNA", at positions 1060 to 1397 of the family's 1533-position model. The record is from RNAcentral. Lineage: Bacteria; Pseudomonadati; Pseudomonadota; Gammaproteobacteria; Enterobacterales; Yersiniaceae.